This 578-nucleotide ribosomal RNA is filed under the name uncultured bacterium. Its description in RNAcentral is "bacterial SSU rRNA". It matches the Rfam family "Bacterial small subunit ribosomal RNA", at positions 338 to 916 of the family's 1533-position model. The record is from RNAcentral.
CCUACGGGAGGCAGCAGUAGGGAAUAUUGGACAAUGGGCGCAAGCCUGAUCCAGCCAUCCCGCGUGAAGGAUUAAGGCCCUCUGGGUUGUAAACUUCUUUUCUCUGGGAAUAAAAACCGGUAUUCAUAUUGGCUUGAAGGUACCAGAGGAAUAAGCACCGGCUAACUCCGUGCCAGCAGCCGCGGUAAUACGGAGGGUGCAAGCGUUAUCCGGAUUCACUGGGUUUAAAGGGUGCGUAGGUGGCUUUGUAAGUCAGUGGUGAAAUGCCGCAGCUCAACUGCGGAACUGCCAUUGAUACUGCUUAGCUUGAAUCACGUCGAGGUGGAUGGAAUAAUACAUGUAGCGGUGAAAUGCUUAGAUAUGUAUUAGAACACCGAUUGCGAAGGCAGUUCACUAGGCGUGUAUUGACACUGAGGCACGAAAGCGUGGGGAUCAAACAGGAUUAGAUACCCUGGUAGUCCACGCCCUAAACGAUGUAAACUCGACAUUAGCGAUAUACUGUUAGUGUCCAAGCGAAAGCGUUAAGUUUACCACCUGGAAGUACGACCGCAAGGUUGAAACGUCAAAUGAAUUGACGG